This 251-nucleotide long non-coding RNA is filed under the name Gossypium barbadense (sea-island cotton). RNAcentral describes it as "long non-coding RNA (GBAR_LNC008220)". Lineage: Eukaryota; Viridiplantae; Streptophyta; Magnoliopsida; Malvales; Malvaceae. The record is from RNAcentral.
GGCUGGGAAUCACAAGUGGCAUAGAGAUCCUUAGGAGUACGGAGCAGUUGUUACGAUAGCCAGGAAAGGAAGGAUUCCGUCCCACACAGAACGAACUCUACUAAUGUCUCUUACUUAUUCCUCCCCCUGGCCGAAGGUAAAAUAAGGAUCCGCUUUAAAGGGUAAUAGACCGACCAGCCGGACGAGGACUGUGUUUUCGGGAACCAAGUGGCACCUUAACUGUACCAAUGAGCGGUACGGGGCUUCGGAGG